RNAcentral lists this ribosomal RNA (347 nucleotides) under uncultured bacterium. RNAcentral describes it as "partial 16S ribosomal RNA". It matches the Rfam family "Bacterial small subunit ribosomal RNA", at positions 338 to 699 of the family's 1533-position model. The record is from RNAcentral.
CCUACGGGAGGCAGCAGUGGGGGAUAUUGGACAAUGGGGGAAACCCUGAUCCAGCGACGCCGCGUGAGUGAAGAAGUAUUUCGGGAUGUAAAGCUCUAUCAGCAGGGAAGAAAGAAAUGACGGUACCUGAGUAAGAAGCCCCGGCUAACUACGUGCCAGCAGCCGCGGUAAUACGUAGGGGGCAAGCGUUAGCCGGAAUUACUGGGUGUAAAGGGAGCGUAGACGGUAAUGGAAGUCUGGAGUGAAAGGCGGGGGCCCAACCACCGGACUGCUCGUGAAACUGUGUAACUGGAGUGCAGGGGAGGCAGGCGGAAUGCCUAGUGUAGCGGUGAAAUGCGUAGAUAUUA